This 490-nucleotide ribosomal RNA is filed under the name Gemella morbillorum. RNAcentral's name for it is "bacterial SSU rRNA". It matches the Rfam family "Bacterial small subunit ribosomal RNA", at positions 28 to 498 of the family's 1533-position model. The record is from RNAcentral. Lineage: Bacteria; Bacillati; Bacillota; Bacilli; Caryophanales; Gemellaceae.
GACGAACGCUGGCGGCGUGCCUAAUACAUGCAAGUCGAGCGAAGUUUUUCUGGUGCUUGCGCUAGAAAAACUUAGCGGCGAACGGGUGAGUAACACGUAAAGAACCUGCCUCAUAGACUGGGACAGCUAUUGGAAACGAUAGCUAAUACCGGAUAACAGUAUUUCUCGCAUGAGAGAUAUUUAAAAGUUGGUUAUGCUAACACUAUGAGAUGGCUUUGCGGUGCAUUAGCUAGUUGGUGGGGUAAAGGCCCACCAAGGCGACGAUGCAUAGCCGACCUGAGAGGGUGAUCGGCCACACUGGGACUGAGACACGGCCCAGACUCCUACGGGAGGCAGCAGUAGGGAAUCUUCCGCAAUGGGCGAAAGCCUGACGGAGCAACGCCGCGUGAGUGAAGAAGGAUUUCGGUUCGUAAAGCUCUGUUGUUAGGGAAGAAUGGAUAUGUAGUAACUAUACAUGUACGAGACGGUACCUAACCAGAAAGCCACGGCU